GUAGAGGAGUGCUACGAAAGAGAGCCGUAACACAGGUGCUGCAUGGCUGUCGUCAGCUCGUGUCGUGAGAUGUUGGGUUAAGUCCCGCAACGAGCGCAACCCUUGUCAUUAGUUGCUACAUUCAGUUGGGCACUCUAAUGAGACUGCCGGUGACAAACCGGAGGAAGGUGGGGGAUGACGUCAAGUCCUCAUGGCCCUUAUGGGUAGGGCUCCACACGUCAUACAAUGGUCGGUACAGAGGGUUGCCAACCCGCGAGGGGGAGCUAAUCCCACAAAGCCGAUCGUAGUCCGGAUCGCAGUCUGCAACUCGACUGCGUGAAGUCGGAAUCGCUAGUAAUCGUGGAUCAGCAUGUCACGGUGAAUACGUUCCCGGGUCUU
RNAcentral lists this ribosomal RNA (378 nucleotides) under uncultured Rhodocyclaceae bacterium. Its description in RNAcentral is "bacterial SSU rRNA". It matches the Rfam family "Bacterial small subunit ribosomal RNA", at positions 1006 to 1382 of the family's 1533-position model. The record is from RNAcentral. Lineage: Bacteria; Pseudomonadati; Pseudomonadota; Betaproteobacteria; Rhodocyclales; Rhodocyclaceae.